GCAAGUCGUGCGAGAACGUUUUCUUCGGAAAAUUAGUAGAGCGGCGCACGGGUGAGUAACGCGUGGAUAAUCUCCCCAGAAGAUCGGGAUAACAGUUGGAAACGGCUGCUAAUACCGGAUACGCUUCAUAUUUAACUUUAUGAGGGAAAGAGGGCCUCUGUUUCAAGCUUUCACUUUUGGAUGAGUCCGCGUUUCAUUAGCUAGUUGGUAAGGUAACGGCUUACCAAGGCGACGAUGAAUAGCUGGUCUGAGAGGAUGACC
RNAcentral lists this ribosomal RNA (261 nucleotides) under uncultured bacterium. Its description in RNAcentral is "partial 16S ribosomal RNA". It matches the Rfam family "Bacterial small subunit ribosomal RNA", at positions 57 to 305 of the family's 1533-position model. The record is from RNAcentral.